CGUCAGCUCGUGUCGUGAGAUGUUGGGUUAAGUCCCGCAACGAGCGCAACCCCUAUUGUUAGUUGCCAUCAUUCAGUUGGGCACUCUAGCGAGACUGCCGGUAAUAAACCGGAGGAAGUGGGAUGACGUCAAAUCAUCAUGCCCCUUAUGACCUGGGCUACACACGUGCUACAAUGGUUGGUACAACGAGUUGCGAGUCGGUGACGGCGAGCUAAUCUCUUAAAGCCAAUCUCAGUUCGGAUUGUAGGCUGCAACUCGCCUACAUGAAGUCGGAAUCGCUAGUAAUCGCGGAUCAGCACGCCGCGGUGAAUACGUUCCCGGGCCUU
This 326-nucleotide ribosomal RNA is filed under the name uncultured Streptococcus sp. RNAcentral's name for it is "bacterial SSU rRNA". It matches the Rfam family "Bacterial small subunit ribosomal RNA", at positions 1053 to 1382 of the family's 1533-position model. The record is from RNAcentral. Lineage: Bacteria; Bacillati; Bacillota; Bacilli; Lactobacillales; Streptococcaceae.